RNAcentral lists this ribosomal RNA (396 nucleotides) under uncultured bacterium. RNAcentral's name for it is "partial 16S ribosomal RNA". It matches the Rfam family "Bacterial small subunit ribosomal RNA", at positions 360 to 773 of the family's 1533-position model. The record is from RNAcentral.
AAUUUUGGACAUUGGGGGCAACCCUGACCUAGCAAUGCCGCGCGAGUGAUGAAGGCCUUAGGGUUGUAAAGCUCUUUCAGAGGGGAAGAUAAUGACGGUACCAACACAAGAAGCACCGGCUAACUUCGUGCCAGCAGCCGCGGUAAUACGAAGGGGGCUAGCGUUGUUCGGAUUUACUGGGCGUAAAGCGCACGUAGGCGGAUUGGUCAGUUAGGGGUGAAAGCCCGGAGCUCAACUCCGGAACUGCCUUUAAUACUGCCAGUCUAGAGUCCGAGAGAGGUGAGUGGAACUCCUAGUGUAGAGGUGGAAUUCGUAGAUAUUAGGAAGAACACCAGCGGCGAAGGCGGCUCACUGGCUCGGUACUGACGCUGAGGUGCGAAAGCGUGGGGAGCAAAC